This 505-nucleotide ribosomal RNA is filed under the name uncultured bacterium. RNAcentral's name for it is "partial 16S ribosomal RNA". It matches the Rfam family "Bacterial small subunit ribosomal RNA", at positions 28 to 507 of the family's 1533-position model. The record is from RNAcentral.
GACGAACGCUGGCGGCGCGCCUAAUACAUGCAAGUAGAACGCACAGUUUAUACCGUAGCUUGCUACACCAUAGACUGUGAGUUGCGAACGGGUGAGUAACGCGUAGGUAACCUGCCUGGUAGCGGGGGAUAACUAUUGGAAACGAUAGCUAAUACCGCAUAAUAUUAAUUAUUGCAUGAUAAUUGAUUGAAAGAUGCAACUGCAUCACUACCAGAUGGACCUGCGUUGUAUUAGCUAGUAGGCGAGGUAACGGCUCACCUAGGCGACGAUACAUAGCCGACCUGAGAGGGUGAUCGGCCACACUGGGACUGAGACACGGCCCAGACUCCUACGGGAGGCAGCAGUAGGGAAUCUUCGGUAAUGGACGAAAGUCUGACCGAGCAACGCCGCGUGAGUGAAGAAGGUUUUCGGAUCGUAAAGCUCUGUUGUAAGAGAAGAACGGGUGUGAGAGUGGAAAGUUCACACUGUGACGGUAUCUUACCAGAAAGGGACGGCUAACUACGUG